Molecule: ribosomal RNA, 433 nt
Filed under: uncultured bacterium
Lineage: Bacteria
Description: partial 16S ribosomal RNA
Rfam family: Bacterial small subunit ribosomal RNA
Source: RNAcentral
AACGAACGCUGGCGGCAUGCCUAACACAUGCAAGUCGAACGAGACCUUCGGGUCUAGUGGCGCACGGGUGCGUAACGCGUGGGAACCUGCCCUUAGGUUCGGAAUAACUCCCCGAAAGGGGUGCUAAUACCGGAUAAUGUCUUCGGACCAAAGAUUUAUCGCCUUUGGAUGGGCCCGCGUUGGAUUUGCUAGUUGGUAGGGUAAAAGCCUACCAAGGCGACGAUCCAUAGCUGGUCUGAGAGGAUGAUCAGCCACACUGGGACUGAGACACGGCCCAGACUCCUACGGGAGGCAGCAGUGGGGAAUAUUGGACAAUGGGCGAAAGCCUGAUCCAGCAAUGCCGCGUGAGUGAUGAAGGCCUUAGGGUUGUAAAACUCUUUUACCCGGGAUGAUAAUGACAGUACCGGGAGAAUAAGCUCCGGCUAACUCCGUG